RNAcentral lists this ribosomal RNA (497 nucleotides) under uncultured bacterium. RNAcentral's name for it is "partial 16S ribosomal RNA". It matches the Rfam family "Bacterial small subunit ribosomal RNA", at positions 28 to 507 of the family's 1533-position model. The record is from RNAcentral.
GAUGAACGCUGGCGGCGUGCCUAAUACAUGCAAGUCGAGCGAACGGACGAGAAUCUUGCUUUUCUGAUGUUAGCGGCGGACGGGUGAGUAACACGUGGAUAACCUACCUAUAAGACUGGGAUAACGUCGGGAAGCCGGAGCUAAUACCGGAUCAUAUUUUGAACCGCGUGGUUCAAAAGUGAAAGACGGUCUUGCUGUCACGUAUAGAUGGAUCCGCGCUGCAUUAGCUAGUUGGUAAGGUAACGGCCUACCAAGGCAACGAUGCAUAGCCGACCUGAGAGGAUGACCAGCCACACUGGAACUGAGACACGGCCCAGACUCCUACGGGAGGCAGCAGUAGGGAAUCUUGGACAAUGGGCGAAAGCCUGACGCAGCAACGCCGCGUGAGUGAUGAAGGUCUUCGGAUCGUAAAGCACUGUUAGCAGGGAAGAACAUGUGUGUACGUAUAUCUCCACAUCAUGACGGUACCCGCAGAGAAAGCCCCGGCUAACUACGUG